RNAcentral lists this ribosomal RNA (2896 nucleotides) under Clostridioides difficile. RNAcentral's name for it is "23S ribosomal RNA". It matches the Rfam family "Bacterial large subunit ribosomal RNA". The record is from RNAcentral. Lineage: Bacteria; Bacillati; Bacillota; Clostridia; Peptostreptococcales; Peptostreptococcaceae.
UCAAGUUAUUAAGGGUGCAGGGCGGAUGCCUUGGCACUAGGAGCCGAUGAAGGACGUGAUAAGCUGCGAUAAGCUUCGGGGAGUUGCACGUAAACUUUGAUCCGAAGAUUUCCGAAUGAGGAAACUCACUUAGAGUAAUGUCUAAGUAUCAUUAAGUGAAUACAUAGCUUAAUGAGGGGAACUCAGGGAACUGAAACAUCUAAGUACCUGAAGGAAGAGAAAGAAAUUCGAUUCCGUAAGUAGCGGCGAGCGAACGCGGAUUAGCCCAAACCAAUAAAGUUUUCUUUAUUGGGGUUGCGGACAUAUCAUAACGAAGAGGUAUCGUAAUUGAAGAGGUUUGGAAAGACCCACCACAGAAGGUAAUAGUCCUGUAUGUUAAACGAGAAGACUUUAGAUAUGAUCCAGAGUACCACGGGACACGUGAAACCCUGUGGGAAGCAGGAGGGACCACCCUCCAAGGCUAAAUACUACCUAGUGACCGAUAGCGUAUAGUACCGUGAGGGAAAGGUGAAAAGAACCCCGGGAGGGGAGUGAAAUAGAACCUGAAACCCUGCACUUACAAGCUGUGGAAGCACAUUUCUUGUGUGACCGCGUACUUUUUGUAGAACGGGCCAACGAGUUACGUUAAGUAGCAAGGUUAAGCACUUAAGGUGCGGAGCCGUAGCGAAAGCGAGUUUUAACUGAGCGUUCAGUUACUUGACGUAGACCCGAAACCGGGCGACCUACCCAUGAGCAGGAUGAAGCGAAAGUAAAAUUUCGUGGAGGUCCGAACCCACGAGCGUUGAAAAGCUCGGGGAUGACUUGUGGGUAGCGGUGAAAUUCCAAUCGAGCCCGGAGAUAGCUGGUUCUCCCCGAAAUAGCUUUAGGGCUAGCCUCAAGGUGAGAGAUACGGAGGUAGAGCACUGAAUGUCCUAGGGGGUAUUGCACCUACCGAAGACUAUCAAACUCCGAAUGCCGUCAUCUUAUACUUGGGAGUCAGACUGUGGGUGAUAAGAUUCAUAGUCGAAAGGGCAACAGCCCAGAUCGUCAGCUAAGGUCCCUAAAUGUAAGUUAAGUGGUAAAGGAUGUGGGAUUGCACAGACAACCAGGAUGUUGGCUUAGAAGCAGCCACUCAUUCAAAGAGUGCGUAAUAGCUCACUGGUCGAGUGAUCCUGCGCCGAAGAUUUCCGGGGCUAAAACUUACUACCGAAGCUACGGCAUCAGUAAUGAUGGGUAGGGGAGCUUCCCAUACGGGUUGAAGCAUGACCGUAAGGACAUGUGGACAGUAUGGGAGUGAGAAUGUUGGCAUGAGUAGCGAGAUGUGGGUGAGAAUCCCACAGGCCGUAAACCCAAGGUUUCCAGGGGAAGGUUCGUCCGCCCUGGGUUAGUCGGGACCUAAGCUGAGGCCGAAAGGCGUAGGUGAUGGACAACAGGUUGAUAUUCCUGUACUACCGAUAACCGUUUGAGAGAAGGGAUGACACAGUAGGAUAAGCUAAGCACACUGUUGGUUAUGUGUGCCCAAGCAUUGAGGCAGUCAAAGUAGGUAAAUCCGCUUUGAUAAUGCUGGGAUGUGAUGGGGAGCGAAAUUUAGUAGCGAAGUAGCUGAUUUCACACUGUCAAGAAAAGUCUCUAUCGAGGUUAAAGGUACCCGUACCGCAAACCGACACAGGUGGGUGAGGAGAGUAUCCUAAGGCCAGCGAGAGAACUGUUGUUAAGGAACUCGGCAAAAUGACCCCGUAACUUAGGGAUAAGGGGUGCCACCAUCAGGUGGCCGCAGAGAAUAGGCCCAAGCGACUGUUUACCAAAAACAUAGGUUUCUGCUAAGUCGCAAGACGAUGUAUAGGAGCUGACGCCUGCCCGGUGCUGGAAGGUUAAGGGGAUCUGUUAGAGCAAUCGAAGCAGUGAACUUAAGCCCCAGUAAACGGCGGCCGUAACUAUAACGGUCCUAAGGUAGCGAAAUUCCUUGUCGGGUAAGUUCCGACCCGCACGAAAGGCGUAACGAUUUGGGCACUGUCUCAACAACAGACUCGGUGAAAUUGUAAUUCCGGUGAAGAUGCCGGAUACCUGCGACAGGACGGAAAGACCCCAUGGAGCUUUACUGUAGCUUGACAUUGGGUCUUGGUACUACAUGUACAGGAUAGGUGGGAGGCUUUGAAACCAGGACGCCAGUUUUGGCGGAGCCAUCCUUGGGAUACCACCCUUGUAGUACUGGGACUCUAACCAUAGGCCAUGAAUCUGGUCUUGGGACACUGUCAGGUGGGCAGUUUGACUGGGGCGGUCGCCUCCCAAAAGGUAACGGAGGCGCUCAAAGGUUCUCUCAGUACGGUCGGAAAUCGUACGUAGAGUGUAAAGGCAAAAGAGAGCUUGAUUGCAAGACAUACAGGUCGAGCAAGGAUGAAAAUCGGACUUAGUGAUCCGGUGGUUCUGCGUGGAAGGGCCAUCGCUCAACGGAUAAAAGCUACCCUGGGGAUAACAGGCUUAUCUCCCCCAAGAGUCCACAUCGACGGGGAGGUUUGGCACCUCGAUGUCGGCUCAUCACAUCCUGGGGCUGUAGUAGGUCCCAAGGGUUGGGCUGUUCGCCCAUUAAAGUGGUACGCGAGCUGGGUUCAGAACGUCGUGAGACAGUUCGGUCCCUAUCCGUCGCAGGCGUAGGAAAUUUGAGAAGACCUGUCCUUAGUACGAGAGGACCGGGAUGGACGUACCUCUGGUGUACCAGUUGUCCUGCCAAGGGCAUGGCUGGGUAGCUAUGUACGGAAUGGAUAAGCGCUGAAAGCAUCUAAGCGCGAAGCCAACUUCAAGAUAAGAUUUCCCACCGCAAGGGUAAGACCCCAGAAAGACUAUCUGGUUGAUAGGUCGAAGGUGUAAGUGCAGCAAUGUAUUUAGCUUAUCGAUACUAAUAGGUCGAGGACUUGACCAA